AGGAGUUUGGUAGUACCUCGGCGUCAGGAGUGAACGGCUGCGGCAUGCUUAACACAUAGCAAGUCGAACGGGAAGUGGGUGGUUUUCAGUGGCGAACGGGUGAGUAACGCGUAAGAACCUGCCCUUCGGGAGGGGAACGAACAACUGGAAACGGUUGCUAAUACCCCGUAGGCUGAGGAGCAAAAGGAGAAAUACCGCCCAACGGAGGGGCGUCGCGUCCGAUUAGUCUAGUUGGUGAGGUAAUAACUUACCAAGGCGAUGAUCAGUAGCUGGUCCGAGAGGAUGAUCAGCCACACUGGGACUAAGACACGACCCAGACUCCUACGGGAGGCAUCAGUGGGGAAUUUUCUGCAAUGGGCGAAAGCCUGACGGAGCAAUGCCGCGUGGAGGUGGAAGGCCUACGGGUCGUCAACUUCUUUUCUCGGAGAAGAAACGAUGACGGUAUCUGAGGAAUAAGCACCGGCUAACUCUGUG
This 474-nucleotide ribosomal RNA is filed under the name uncultured bacterium. RNAcentral's name for it is "bacterial SSU rRNA". It matches the Rfam family "Bacterial small subunit ribosomal RNA", at positions 27 to 507 of the family's 1533-position model. The record is from RNAcentral.